ACACAGCACGUUGAAACACCGAUUGUCGUGCGAUCAUUGAAGUUAAGCAUCGUCGAGCAUAGUUAGUAAAUUGAUGGGUGACCGCUUGGGAAUACCGAGUUCUGUAA
This is a non-coding RNA of Acanthosepion pharaonis, 107 nucleotides long. NCBI's taxonomy places the organism in Eukaryota, Metazoa, Mollusca, Cephalopoda, Sepiida, Sepiidae. The record is from the annotation of a GenBank genome assembly.